Molecule: ribosomal RNA, 497 nt
Filed under: uncultured bacterium
Lineage: Bacteria
Description: partial 16S ribosomal RNA
Rfam family: Bacterial small subunit ribosomal RNA
Source: RNAcentral
GAUGAACGCUGGCGGCGUGCCUAAUACAUGCAAGUCGAGCGAACAGACGAGGAGCUUGCUCCUCUGACGUUAGCGGCGGACGGGUGAGUCACACGUGGAUAACCUACCUAUAAGACUGGGAUAACUUCGGGAAACCGGAGCUAAUACCGGAUAAUAUAUUGAACCGCAUGGUUCAAUAGUGAAAGACGGUUUUGCUGUCACUUGUAGAUGGAUCCGCGCCGCAUUAGCUAGUUGGUAAGGUAACGGCUUACCAAGGCAACGAUGCGUAGCCGACCUGAGAGGGUGAUCGGCCACACUGGAACUGAGACACGGUCCAGACUCCUACGGGAGGCAGCAGUAGGGAAUCUUCCGCAAUGGGCGAAAGCCUGACGGAGCAACGCCGCGUGAGUGAUGAGGGUCUUCGGAUCGUAAAACUCUGUUAUUAGGGAAGAACAAAUGUGUAAGUAACUAUGCACGUCUUGACGGUACCUAAUCAGAAAGCCACGGCUAACUACGUG